GACGAACGCUGGCGGCGUGCUUAACACAUGCAAGUCGAACGGAAAGGCCUCUUUCGGGGGGUACUCGAGUGGCGAACGGGUGAGUAACACGUGAGUAACCUGCCCUUGACUUUGGGAUAACUUCAGGAAACUGGGGCUAAUACCGGAUAGGAGCUCCUGCUGCAUGGUGGGGGUUGGAAAGUUUCGGCGGUUGGGGAUGGACUCGCGGCUUAUCAGCUUGUUGGUGGGGUAGUGGCUUACCAAGGCUUUGACGGGUAGCCGGCCUGAGAGGGUGACCGGCCACAUUGGGACUGAGAUACGGCCCAGACUCCUGCGGGAGGCAGCAGUGGGGAAUAUUGCACAAUGGGUGGAAGCCUGAUGCAGCAACGCCGUGUGCGGGAUGACGGCCUUCGGGCUGUAAACCGCUUUCGCUCAUGACGAAGCUUUGUGUGACGGUAGUGGGUAAAGAAGCACCGGCUAACUACGUG
RNAcentral lists this ribosomal RNA (467 nucleotides) under uncultured bacterium. Its description in RNAcentral is "partial 16S ribosomal RNA". It matches the Rfam family "Bacterial small subunit ribosomal RNA", at positions 28 to 507 of the family's 1533-position model. The record is from RNAcentral.